CGCCACCAGCUAGCCCGCCAAACACACAAACCUUUUCCACUUUAAACUAAAACAUUCGACAAGCCAAGUAUCCGCGACAGAAAAGCACUCACCAGGCGCAAUAGCAAAAGUACCGCAAGGGACCACUGAAAAUAAAUGAAACAAUACUUAAGCACAACACAGCAAGGAUAAACCCCUGUACCUUUUGCAUCAUGGUUUAGCAAGCAACAACAGGUAUAGAGCCCUACAACCUGUAACCCCGAAGCCAGACGAGCUACCCCACAGCAACCCUAAGGAGUGAACCCGUCUCUGUAGCAAAAGAGUGGGAAGACUGUAAGGUAGAGGUGAAACGCCUACCGAGCCUGGCGAUAGCUGGUUGCCCAUAAAAUGAAUUUAAGUUCAACUGCAGGCUAGACUAAACUACAUAAAACACACCACCGAUACACCUGCAAGAUAUACAAUAAGGGUACAGCCUUAUUGUAACUGAAUACAAUCAAAAUUAGAGGGAUACUACAUCCAACAACACCAGUAGGCCCCAAAGCCGCCACCAAAAAAAAUCGCGUCACAGCAUAAAAACCCAAAAAUCCAAAACAGACACCCCACCCCCUAUAACAAAUUGAGCCACUUUAACUAAACUUAAAGGAAACACUACUAAAACUAGUAAUAAGAAUAAUUUCUCUGCCGCACACCUUCAACUCAGAAUUAGAUAAUCUACUGAAAACUAACAGCCCAUUAACCCUGGACAAAACACCCACACCAAGACACCUGUUUUAAUAAAACUGUUACACCAACACAGGCGUGCCAAAAAGACCGAUUAAAAGCCAUAAAAGGAACUCAGCUAAUAUGCCCCAACUGUUUACCAAAAACAUAGCCUUUAGCUUACCACAAGUAUUAAAGGUACUGCCUGCCCGGUGACAUUCUUUAACGGCCGCGGUAUCCUAACCGUGCAAAGGUAGCGUAAUCAUUUGUCCUCUAAAUAGGGACUAGUAUGAAUGGUUAAAUGAGGGCCUAACUGUCUCCUGUGGUUAAUCAAUGAACCUGAUCUUCCCGUACAAAAGCUGGGAUAAAUACAUAAGACGAGAAGACCCUGUGGAGCUUAAAACAACACCAUUA
Molecule: ribosomal RNA, 1092 nt
Filed under: Aristelliger sp. SBH-2017c
Lineage: Eukaryota; Metazoa; Chordata; Lepidosauria; Squamata; Sphaerodactylidae
Description: partial 16S ribosomal RNA
Rfam family: Bacterial large subunit ribosomal RNA (bases 161-1020)
Source: RNAcentral